ACAAAUUCCCUUUCACAGUUGCAUUUAUUCUAAACUGUAAAGCUGUUCUUGUUGGGGAGAGGACUUUUGGCAAGGGUCUAAUUCAAUCUGUCUUUGAACUUCGUGAUGGAUCUGGGGUGGUUGUCACUGUUGGAAAGUAUGAGACACCAAGUCAUUUGGACAUCAAUGGCAAUGGAAUCGUACCUGACUAUAGAAACUUCCCAGCUUGGAGCGAUAUUGCACAGCAUCUGUCAAGAUGCAAUUUGCUUCGACGAUCUGGAUUUGCUUGCCCAGUAGGUGCACUUGAGGAUUUGAGAUGAAAAUGCAGAGUUAAGAGCUGUUUUGCUUCCACGCAGGCCUUUGACAUAUAUCCGUUAACAUGUCAAAGUGGGAUUACAGAAUAGAUUUGGUGGAUUCAGAGUUUUAGCGGAUAUAACACCAGCAUAAGUAAAACGGACAGUCGGGACGAAUUUACCACGAGACAACGGAGACAAUUUCCCCACCUGAAAAUCCUUCAUACAAUAAUACUUUGUAAUUCUUAUCGUCAAUAAAAUAAUAUAUUUAUUUGUUCAAUUAUCAU
Hibiscus syriacus is the source of this 559-nucleotide long non-coding RNA. RefSeq lists it as uncharacterized. The record is from RefSeq and is a predicted model, not a curated record. NCBI's taxonomy places the organism in Eukaryota, Viridiplantae, Streptophyta, Magnoliopsida, Malvales, Malvaceae. The transcript has 3 exons.